Molecule: long non-coding RNA, 346 nt
Organism: Loxodonta africana (African savanna elephant)
Lineage: Eukaryota; Metazoa; Chordata; Mammalia; Proboscidea; Elephantidae
Exons: 4
Source: RefSeq, a predicted model, not a curated record
UAGGCUACCGGGGCUGCCAUCAUCACCACCACCUCUCACCUUCCAGUGAGCUCGCUGUCUUCCCGAUUCUGGAAAGUGAUUAACCGUUUUGGUGACUUGCAUCCAACUGGAUUGAAACAACAUUUGUCUCAGAAGAAAAACCUGUUUCAUGCAGACUGUGGGCUGGUGUUCUGGCUGAGCCUCCCUCAAAAGUCUCGUGGCUGUGACUUGAACAAGGAGGGAGCCCCCCACCCUUGGAUGUUCCUGCAAAACCUGAAAGGAAUUUGAGGUUUUUCAGGCGUGCAGACAGAAGCACUACACUGUCCCUUCACAGCAAAGACCUGAAAAACGAAGUAAAACAGAGACA